This 1426-nucleotide ribosomal RNA is filed under the name metagenome. RNAcentral describes it as "SSU rRNA". It matches the Rfam family "Eukaryotic small subunit ribosomal RNA", at positions 364 to 1801 of the family's 1831-position model. The record is from RNAcentral.
GGAGAAUCAGUGUUCGAUACCGGAGAGGGAGCCUUAGAAACUGCUACCACAUCUAAGGAAGGCAGCCGGCACGCAAAUUACCCACUCUCAGAACGAGGAGGUAGUGAAUUUAAAUAGCGAUGAUGAACUCUUAUGAGGCUCGUCAACCGAAAUGAGUACAAUUUAAAUCCUUUAACGAGUACCAAUUGGAGGGCAAGUCUGGUGCCAGCAGCCGCGGUAAUUCCAGCUCCAAUAGCGAAUAUUAAAUUUGUUGCAGUUAAAAAGCUCGUAGUUGGAUCCAAGGUUAGGCAUGCCUGUCUGUUCUUAGUAGCAUGACUGUGUGUGUCUGCCUUUAUUAGUUGAAUGUUCAUUAUGGUGGUCUUCAUCGACUGCUAUGAUGUGCUCAACACGUUUACCUUGAAAAAAUCAGAGCGAUCAAGGCAGGCCUUCGUGCUUGUAUGUUGUUGCAAGGAAUAAUAGAAUAGGACUUCGGUUCUAUUUUGUUGGUUUUGAGAAUUGAAGUAAUGAACAAUAGAGACAGUCGGGAGCAUUUGUAUGGUGGCGUUAGAGGUGAAAUUCUGAGAUCGUCGCCAGACAAACUACUGCGAAAGCAUUUGCCAAGGAUGUCUUCAUUAAUCAAGAACGAAAGUCAGAGGUUCGAAGACGAUCAGAUACCGUCCUAGUUCUGACCAUAAACGAUGCCGACCUACAAUCGGGGGUGGUUUAUUAUAUUGACCCUCCCGGCUGUCCUCAGGAAACUUUAAGUUGGUUCUGGGGGGAAUAUGGUCUCAAGACUGAAACUUAAAGGAAUUGACGGAAGGGCACCACCAGGAGUGGAGCCUGCGGCUUAAUUUGACCCAACACGGGGAAUCUCACCCGGUCCGGACACUGGUAGGAUGGACAGAUUGAUAGCUCUUUCUUGAUUCAGUGGGUGGUGGUGCAUGGCCGUUCUUAGUUGGUGGAGUGAUUUGUCUGGUUAAUUCCGAUAACGAACAAGACUCUGUCCUGCUAAAUAGUCCAGUGGCAUCAAUCACUAUGUGAUUACAGCUGCUGUUACUUCUUAGAGGGAUUCACGGAUUUAAACCGCAAGAAAUAGAGCAAUAACAGGUCUGUGAUGCCCUUAGAUGUCCGGGGCCGCACGCGCGCUACAUUGACAGUAGAAGCGAGUAUUUCUACCUGGUUCGAAAGAAUUGGGAAAUCUUCGAAUUACUGUCUCCACAGGGAUUGAGGUUUGCAAUUUUGCCUCAUGAACGAAAUUCCCAGUAGGCGCAAGUCAUCAGCUUGCGUCGAUUACGUCCCUGCCCUUUGUACACACCGCCCGUCGCUACUACCGAUUGAGUGCAUUAGUGAGGACCUCGGAUUGAGAACAUAGUGGCGCAAGUUACUUUGUUUUCGAAAAGUGGUUCAAAUUUGUGCAUUUAGAGAUAGUAAAAGUCGUAACAAGGUU